GAUGAAGAACGCAGCGAAAUGCGAUACUUGGUGUGAAUUGCAGAAUCCCGUGAACCAUCGAGUCUUUGAACGCAAGUUGCGCCCGAAGCCAUCAGGUUGAGGGCACGUCUGCCUGGGCGUCACAUAUCGUUGCUCGAUGCCUAUCGCAUUGCGAUAGGACUUAGGGCGAAUGAUGGCUUCCCGUGAGCGUUGUUGCCUCGCGGUUGGUUGAAAAUCGAGUGCAUGGUGUCGGGUGUACCAUGAUGGAUGGUGGUUGAGUGAUGAUGCUCGAGACCAAUCAUGGGUAACUCCACCAGAAUUGGGCUCGGUGACCCACAUGCGCCCCUUGGAUGCUCCCUAAGGAGACCUCAGGUCAGGCGGGGCUACCCGCUGAGUUUAAGCAUAUCAAUAAGCGGAGGA
RNAcentral lists this unclassified non-coding RNA (399 nucleotides) under soil metagenome. RNAcentral's name for it is "partial contains 5.8S ribosomal RNA, internal transcribed spacer 2, and large subunit ribosomal RNA". The stretch from base 1 to 122 matches the Rfam family "5.8S ribosomal RNA", at positions 35 to 154 of the family's 154-position model. The record is from RNAcentral.